GUCACUUUGUCCGAGUGGUUAAGGAGAGAGUUUAGAACACUCUUGCGGUAACGCGCACAGGUUCGAGUCCUGUAGGUGACU
RNAcentral lists this transfer RNA (81 nucleotides) under Tremella mesenterica. RNAcentral describes it as "tRNA-Ser". It matches the Rfam family "tRNA". Rfam says of the family: Transfer RNA (tRNA) molecules are approximately 80 nucleotides in length. Their secondary structure includes four short double-helical elements and three loops (D, anti-codon, and T loops). The record is from RNAcentral. RNAcentral also lists the same sequence under 1 other name. Lineage: Eukaryota; Fungi; Basidiomycota; Tremellomycetes; Tremellales; Tremellaceae.